GCUUUAAUCGAGAAACCCGUCUUCUUUUUUUUUUCUUUAUACACCUCUCUUCUAAAUCUAGUGCGCGUAGAUCCAAUCGCCACGCCAAUGUAACGCGACAUGGUAACAGGAUGCUCGUCUGCUCUACUAUCGGCGACAUAAUGUAACGAUACAUCGUGAUAAAAGAGCGAUGAGAGAUUCGUGGAGUGAGCCGGAAUUUUUUGGGAUCGAGCCCUUGAUGAAGAGAACCCGCGAACAUCUGCCACGAGGCCACGUGACAAAUGUCACGCAGACGAAAGUGCCGGGAAGAUGGUCCAAGCACGAUCAUCAUCGACGUGAUGUCGAUCCACGCAUUAUUUCGUCAUGAUAGAAGCGGAACGCAACAACCAAUGGGAACGUCGCUUCCGCGGAGGCUCGACCGGCUCGACCCGACUUCCAUCACGUUCGUCGAGAGAUCCCUGUGGCCGGCCGUUUCUUUCAAGGAGAAUCGAGUUGUGGGAAAGUUGUAUGCCCGGCUGUCGGCUGAUAAAGUUGGCCGUUUAUAUCGCCUCGCUGGAAUAUUACGUUAUUGCGCAUAGAGAUAGCCAAGUAUUAAAUUUCAAAGUUUACAGCGCUGUAAAAAACGAAUUUGCACACGAUCGCUCGAUCUGAUCGUUCAAUGAUAUUUAUAUAUUUAUAAUUGCAUAAAUGAUUUAUCAAUGCGCGAUUAUUAUACACUUGACUUUCAAGUAGAUUCCAAAACGGGAAACGCUAUAUAUUGUCUUAUUGUAUUAAAAAAAUUCCAAUUUUCUCAAGUAGAUAUGUUUCCAUACAUG
Molecule: long non-coding RNA, 794 nt
Organism: Camponotus floridanus (Florida carpenter ant)
Lineage: Eukaryota; Metazoa; Arthropoda; Insecta; Hymenoptera; Formicidae
Exons: 3
Source: RefSeq, a predicted model, not a curated record